CCUACGGGAGGCAGCAGUGGGGAAUCUUGCGCAAUGGGCGAAGGCCUGACGCAGCCAUGCCGCGUGGAUGAUGAAGGUCUUAGGAUUGUAAAAUCCUUUCACCGGUGAAGAUAAUGACUGUAGCCGGAGAAGAAGCCCCGGCUAACUUCGUGCCAGCAGCCGCGGUAAUACGAAGGGGGCUAGCGUUGCUCGGAAUUACUGGGCGUAAAGGGAGCGUAGGCGGACAUUUAAGUCAGAGGUGAAAUCCCGGAGCUUAACUUCGGAACUGCCUUUGAUACUGGGUGUCUUGAGUGUGAGAGAGGUAUGUGGAACUCCGAGUGUAGAGGUGAAAUUCGUAGAUAUUCGGAAGAACACCAGUGGCGAAGGCGACAUACUGGCUCAUUACUGACGCUGAGGCUCGAAAGCGUGGGGAGCAAACAGGAUUAGAUACCCUGGUAGUCCACGCCGUAAACGAUGAUUGCUAGUUGUCGGGAAGCUUGCUUCUCGGUGACGCAGCUAACGCAUUAAGCAAUCCGCCUGGGGGAGUACGGUCGCAGAUAAACUACAAGAAGUAGAGCGNGAGAGNGCGAGGACGACGACGAGGGAGAGG
Molecule: ribosomal RNA, 589 nt
Filed under: uncultured bacterium
Lineage: Bacteria
Description: bacterial SSU rRNA
Rfam family: Bacterial small subunit ribosomal RNA
Source: RNAcentral